GACCCACCUGAUUCCAUGCCGAACUCAGAAGUGAAACGAAUUAGCGCCGAUGGUAGUGUGGGGCUUCCCCAUGUGAGAGUAGGACAUCGCCAGGC
Molecule: ribosomal RNA, 95 nt
Filed under: Vibrio sp. RE86
Lineage: Bacteria; Pseudomonadati; Pseudomonadota; Gammaproteobacteria; Vibrionales; Vibrionaceae
Source: RNAcentral